UGAAACACCAGUUGUCCAAUCACUGAAGUUAAGCAAUGUCAAGCCUGCUCAGUACCUAGUUGGGUGACUGCUUGGGAAUACCAGGUGCUGUAAG
Non-coding RNA from Acanthosepion pharaonis, 94 nucleotides. Lineage: Eukaryota; Metazoa; Mollusca; Cephalopoda; Sepiida; Sepiidae. The record is from the annotation of a GenBank genome assembly.